This is a long non-coding RNA of Helianthus annuus (common sunflower), 521 nucleotides long. RefSeq lists it as uncharacterized. The record is from RefSeq and is a predicted model, not a curated record. NCBI's taxonomy places the organism in Eukaryota, Viridiplantae, Streptophyta, Magnoliopsida, Asterales, Asteraceae. The transcript is spliced from 3 exons.
CUCAUAUCUUUUAAUCUUUCCUUGUAAACUAUGUGUGAGUAAAAUCUCCUUUUAAGGAUUAGGAGAUAAUAUGUAAUAUCAAGAAGUUCUCCUUCGGAAGAACAGUUAUGAAAUAAAACAACCCUUUGUUUAAACUUUUAUCUUCUAUCAUGAAAGUUCAUAAUUUGUAAAACCUAGAGUCCUGAAGUCCGAUGAAGUACCGCUUAGACAGGAGAUCGAAGGGAAAAUAUGGGUCGAAAUUCAGAACUUACAAGAAAAGAUAGAAGGAUAAGAAAGCGAAUUCCUUUCUUCAAUGAAUUCUGAUCAUUGAAUGAUGCAUCUCUAAUAACGACAGAGUGGUGGUCGGUACACCGUAAUCCGCGGUAACGCCAAGGACACAAGGCUCAAGUGACCGUUAGAGUACGUGCCUUUUCCAGACAUGGACGCAAGUGGGGGGGUUAAUAUACACAAAAUAUCAAUGUUAUAAUCAAAGAUUAGAUUUCUAAUAAAUGAAAUAUGGUGCUAAAGUGUUUUACAGCUAA